RNAcentral lists this ribosomal RNA (604 nucleotides) under Aureobasidium sp. 35L-2-11. Its description in RNAcentral is "eukaryotic LSU rRNA". It matches the Rfam family "Eukaryotic large subunit ribosomal RNA", at positions 28 to 639 of the family's 3401-position model. The record is from RNAcentral. Lineage: Eukaryota; Fungi; Ascomycota; Dothideomycetes; Dothideales; Saccotheciaceae.
UUUAAAUUAUUUUUUUGCAUAUCCAAUAAGCGGAGGAAAAGAAACCAACAGGGAUUGCCCUAGUAACGGCGAGUGAAGCGGCAACAGCUCAAAUUUGAAAGCUGGCCUUCGGGUCCGCAUUGUAAUUUGUAGAGGAUGCUUUGGGUGAAACGCCAGUCUAAGUUCCUUGGAACAGGACGUCAUAGAGGGUGAGAAUCCCGUAUGUGACUGGAAAUGUUAACCUAUGUAAAGCUCCUUCGACGAGUCGAGUUGUUUGGGAAUGCAGCUCUAAAUGGGAGGUAAAUUUCUUCUAAAGCUAAAUAUUGGCGAGAGACCGAUAGCGCACAAGUAGAGUGAUCGAAAGAUGAAAAGCACUUUGGAAAGAGAGUUAAAAAGCACGUGAAAUUGUUGAAAGGGAAGCGCUUGCAAUCAGACUUGUUUAAACUGUUCGGCCGGUCUUCUGACCGGUUUACUCAGUUUGGACAGGCCAGCAUCAGUUUCGGCGGCCGGAUAAAGGCUCUGGGAAUGUGGCCUUCACUUCGGUGAAGGUGUUAUAGCCCAGGGUGUAAUACGGCCAGCCGGGACUGAGGUCCGCGCUCGGCUAGGAUGCUGCGUAAGCACGAAG